CAUUUAAAAUAAGCCUGGUAGUCUCAAAAAUAUAUUUAUUCAUGUUGGAAUUAUCUCCCUGCUAUUUAUGUGCAUGUAAUACAAAAUAAGAUGAUAAAGACAUUAACUGUAGAGAUUGAGUGUGGGUAAGUAAUUCCAUGCAUGUUGAUAGGAUUGGCUACAUGAGAAUGUCGAAACUAGUUCCUUAAAAUAUAUUAUUUACUUGAUGUCGCUUCUUUGUGUUGGUGGCUUGGUGCAGGUAUGAACGCCGGCUCUCAGAACUGUAUGCUCAAAUCCAGGGAAAACAUCGACAAACCCGUAAAUACUAUGCUACCUACAAUGCUCUUUUGGAAAUUAAAGAAUUGAUGCUAAAGGAAACAUCCUUAUUGAAUUCAAUCAAUUCACAGUUUCAAGAGGCCUUCAGUAGUAUGGAUGGUCGUGCAAAACUUGUUCAUUCCAUGGAAGGAAUUGUCAAGGGCAACUCUAUUACUGCACAUGAC
Arachis ipaensis is the source of this 479-nucleotide non-coding RNA. The record is from RefSeq and is a predicted model, not a curated record. NCBI's taxonomy places the organism in Eukaryota, Viridiplantae, Streptophyta, Magnoliopsida, Fabales, Fabaceae.